AGAAACUUAGGUUACAUUUUUUAAACCGGAGGCCUUCAAAGCCUCAAACAGGGCUUUUAAACCCUAGCUUCUG
RNAcentral lists this transfer RNA (73 nucleotides) under Australolacerta australis. RNAcentral's name for it is "tRNA-Trp". Lineage: Eukaryota; Metazoa; Chordata; Lepidosauria; Squamata; Lacertidae. The record is from RNAcentral.